UGACCACUGGACAAAUGGACUACGGAUCU
RNAcentral lists this non-coding RNA (29 nucleotides) under Rattus norvegicus (Norway rat). The record is from RNAcentral. Lineage: Eukaryota; Metazoa; Chordata; Mammalia; Rodentia; Muridae.